Molecule: ribosomal RNA, 429 nt
Filed under: Verrucomicrobiota bacterium
Lineage: Bacteria; Pseudomonadati; Verrucomicrobiota
Description: Verrucomicrobia bacterium partial 16S ribosomal RNA
Rfam family: Bacterial small subunit ribosomal RNA
Source: RNAcentral
UAGGGAAUCUUCGGCAAUGGGGGGAACCCUGACCGAGCAACGCCGCGUGAGUGAAGAAGGUUUUCGGAUCGUAAAGCUCUGUUGUUAAGGAAGAACGAGUGUGAGAAUGGAAAGUUCAUGCUGUGACGGUACUUAACCAGAAAGGGACGGCUAACUACGUGCCAGCAGCCGCGGUAAUACGUAGGUCCCGAGCGUUGUCCGGAUUUAUUGGGCGUAAAGCGAGCGCAGGCGGUUAGAAAAGUCUGAAGUGAAAGGCAGUGGCUCAACCAUUGUAGGCUUUGGAAACUGUUUAACUUGAGUGCAGAAGGGGAGAGUGGAAUUCCAGGUGUAGCGGUGAAAUGCGUAGAUAUAUAGAGGAACACCGGUGGCGAAGGCGGCUCUCUGGUCUGUAACUGACGCUGAGGCUCGAAGGCGUGGGGAGCGAACAGG